CCCUUAGAUGUUCUGGGCCGCACGCGCGCUACACUGAUGCACUCAACGAGUCUCCACCUUGACCGAAAGGUCCGGGAAACCUUCGAACUUGCAUCGUGAUGGGGAUAGAUUAUUGCAACUAUUAAUCUUCAACGAGGAAUACCUAGUAAGCGCAUGUCAUCAGCGUGCGUUGAUUACGUCCCUGCCCUUUGUACACACCGCCCGUCGCACCUACCGAUUGAAUGGUCCGGUGAAGCCUCCGGAUUGGCGCGCACCUCGGUGCCGCCGAGAAGUUGGCUAAACCUUACCAUUUAGAGGAAGGUGAAGUCGUAACA
This 314-nucleotide ribosomal RNA is filed under the name uncultured eukaryote. RNAcentral's name for it is "partial 18S ribosomal RNA". It matches the Rfam family "Eukaryotic small subunit ribosomal RNA", at positions 1470 to 1796 of the family's 1831-position model. The record is from RNAcentral.